Molecule: unclassified non-coding RNA, 117 nt
Organism: Pongo abelii (Sumatran orangutan)
Lineage: Eukaryota; Metazoa; Chordata; Mammalia; Primates; Hominidae
Rfam family: Metazoan signal recognition particle RNA
About the family: The signal recognition particle (SRP) is a universally conserved ribonucleoprotein. It is involved in the co-translational targeting of proteins to membranes.
Source: Ensembl
GCCAGGUGUGGUGGCUCACACCUGUAAUCCCAGCACUUUGGGAGGCUGAGGCGGGUGGAUCAUCUGAGGUCAGGAGUUUGAGACCAGCCUGGCCAACAUGGUGAAACCCCGUCUCUA